GAUGAAGAACGUAGCGAAAUGCGAUACUUGGUGUGAAUUGCAGAAUCCCGUGAACCGUCGAGUCUUUGAACGCAAGUUGCGCCUCAAGCCAUUAGGUUGAGGGCACGUCUGCCUGGGCGUCACAUAUCGUUGCCUGAUGCCAGUUUCCUCGUGAUGGGUGACUGUGCAGGGCGAAUGAUGGCUUCCCGUGAGCAUUGUUGCCUCAUGGUUGGUUGAAAAUUGAGUCCUUGGUAGGGAGCGCCGUGAUAGAUGGUGGUUGAGUGACGAACGAGACCCAAUCAUGUGAGACCCCUACCGAAUUUGGCCUUCAUGACCCACAUGCGUCUUUGGAACGCUCAUGACGAGACCUCAGGUCAGGCGGGGCUACCCGCUGAGUUUAAGCAUAUCAAUAAGCGGAGGA
RNAcentral lists this unclassified non-coding RNA (400 nucleotides) under soil metagenome. Its description in RNAcentral is "partial contains 5.8S ribosomal RNA, internal transcribed spacer 2, and large subunit ribosomal RNA". The stretch from base 1 to 122 matches the Rfam family "5.8S ribosomal RNA", at positions 35 to 154 of the family's 154-position model. The record is from RNAcentral.